GGCAGCAGCUCAAAUUUGAAAUCUGGCCGCCCCCGCGGGGGGCCCGAGUUGUAAUUUGCAGAGGACGCUUCCGGCGCGGCGCCUUCCGAGUUCCCUGGAACGGGACGCCACAGAGGGUGAGAGCCCCGUACGGUCGGACGCCCAGCCACUGUGAAGCCCCCUCGACGAGUCGAGUAGUUUGGGAAUGCUGCUCAAAACGGGAGGUAUAUGUCUUCUAAAGCUAAAUACCGGCCAGAGACCGAUAGCGCACAAGUAGAGUGAUCGAAAGAUGAAAAGCACUUUGAAAAGAGGGUCAAACAGUACGUGAAAUUGUUGAAAGGGAAGCGCUCGCGACCAGACUUGGGCCCGGUGGAUCACCCGGCGUUCUCGCCGGCGCACUCCGCCGGGCCCAGGCCAGCAUCGGCUCGCCGCGGGGGACAAAGGCGGCGGGAACGUGGCUCCCCAGGGAGUGUUAUAGCCCGCCGCGCAAUGCCCCGCGGCGGACCGAGGCCCGCGCACCGCAAGGAUGCUGGCGUAAUGGUCACCAGCGACCCGUCUUGAAACACGGACCAAGGAGUCGUCUUCGUAUGCGAGUGUUCGGGUGUCAAACCCCUACGCGGAAUGAAAGUGAACGCAGGUGGGAGCCUCGGCGCACCAUCGACCGAUCCUGAUGUCCUCGGAUGGAUUUGAGUAGGAGCAUACGGGGCCGGACCCGAAAGAAGGUGAACUAUGCCUGUAUAGGGUGAAGCCAGAGGAAACUCUGGUGGAGGCUCGCAGCGGUUCUGACGUGCAAAUCGAUCGUCAAAUAUGGGC
This 792-nucleotide ribosomal RNA is filed under the name Ophiocordyceps melolonthae. Its description in RNAcentral is "eukaryotic LSU rRNA". It matches the Rfam family "Eukaryotic large subunit ribosomal RNA", at positions 100 to 916 of the family's 3401-position model. Lineage: Eukaryota; Fungi; Ascomycota; Sordariomycetes; Hypocreales; Ophiocordycipitaceae. The record is from RNAcentral.